RNAcentral lists this transfer RNA (64 nucleotides) under Cavia porcellus (domestic guinea pig). It matches the Rfam family "tRNA", at positions 1 to 62 of the family's 71-position model. From Rfam's summary of the family: Transfer RNA (tRNA) molecules are approximately 80 nucleotides in length. Their secondary structure includes four short double-helical elements and three loops (D, anti-codon, and T loops). Lineage: Eukaryota; Metazoa; Chordata; Mammalia; Rodentia; Caviidae. The record is from Rfam by way of RNAcentral.
GGGGAUUUAGCUCAGCGGCCUAAGCGCCUGCCUUGCAAGCAGGCAGUCGUGAGUUCAGUCCUCA